This 1466-nucleotide ribosomal RNA is filed under the name Vibrio alginolyticus. RNAcentral describes it as "partial 23S ribosomal RNA". It matches the Rfam family "Bacterial large subunit ribosomal RNA", at positions 1 to 1526 of the family's 2925-position model. The record is from RNAcentral. Lineage: Bacteria; Pseudomonadati; Pseudomonadota; Gammaproteobacteria; Vibrionales; Vibrionaceae.
GGUUAAGUGACUAAGCGUACACGGUGGAUGCCUUGGCAGUCAGAGGCGAUGAAGGACGUAUUAACUUGCGAUAAGCCCAGAUUAGGUAGUAAAAACCAUUUGAGUCUGGGAUUUCCGAAUGGGGAAACCCAAUACCAUAAGGUAUUACUGUUGAGUGAAUACAUAGCUCAACAGGGCGAACCGGGGGAACUGAAACAUCUAAGUACCCCGAGGAAAAGAAAUCAACCGAGAUUCCGAAAGUAGCGGCGAGCGAAAUUGGACUAGCCCUUAAGCUUUACACGCGUUAGACGAACAGCCUGGAAAGGCCGACGAUACAGGGUGAUAGUCCCGUAGUUGACGACGUGUGUUCAGUGAAAUCGAGUAGGGCGGGACACGUGAUAUCCUGUCUGAAUAUGGGGGGACCAUCCUCCAAGGCUAAAUACUACUGACUGACCGAUAGUGAACCAGUACCGUGAGGGAAAGGCGAAAAGAACCCCUGUGAGGGGAGUGAAAUAGAACCUGAAACCGUGUACGUACAAGCAGUAGGAGCAGGCUUUGUCCUGUGACUGCGUACCUUUUGUAUAAUGGGUCAGCGACUUAUAUUCAGUGGCAAGGUUAACCAUCUAGGGGAGCCGUAGGGAAACCGAGUCUUAACUGGGCGUUCAGUCUCUGGAUAUAGACCCGAAACCAGGUGAUCUAGCCAUGGGCAGGUUGAAGGUUGAGUAACAUCAACUGGAGGACCGAACCGACUAAUGUUGAAAAAUUAGCGGAUGACUUGUGGCUAGGGGUGAAAGGCCAAUCAAACCUGGAGAUAGCUGGUUCUCCCCGAAAGCUAUUUAGGUAGCGCCUCGGACGAAUACUACUGGGGGUAGAGCACUGUUAAGGCUAGGGGGUCAUCCCGACUUACCAACCCUUUGCAAACUCCGAAUACCAGUAAGUACUAUCCGGGAGACACACGGCGGGUGCUAACGUCCGUCGUGGAGAGGGAAACAACCCAGACCGCCAGCUAAGGUCCCAAAUUACUACUAAGUGGGAAACGAUGUGGGAAGGCUCAGACAGCCAGGAUGUUGGCUUAGAAGCAGCCAUCAUUUAAAGAAAGCGUAAUAGCUCACUGGUCGAGUCGGCCUGCGCGGAAGAUGUAACGGGGCUAAGUAGUAAACCGAAGCUGCGGCAAUGCACUUUAGUGCGUUGGGUAGGGGAGCGUUCUGUAAGCGGUUGAAGGUGUGUGGUAACGCAUGCUGGACGUAUCAGAAGUGCGAAUGCUGACAUGAGUAACGAUAAAGGGGGUGAAAAACCUCCUCGCCGGAAGACCAAGGGUUCCUGUCCAACGUUAAUCGGGGCAGGGUAAGUCGACCCCUAAGGCGAGGCCGAAAGGCGUAGUCGAUGGGAAACGGGUUAAUAUUCCCGUACUUCUUACAAUUGCGAUGGGGGGACGGAGAAGGCUAGGUGGGCCUGGCGACGGUUGUCCAGGUUCAAGUGCGUAGGCU